Long non-coding RNA from Lutra lutra (Eurasian river otter), 89 nucleotides. RefSeq lists it as uncharacterized. NCBI's taxonomy places the organism in Eukaryota, Metazoa, Chordata, Mammalia, Carnivora, Mustelidae. The record is from RefSeq and is a predicted model, not a curated record. The transcript is spliced from 3 exons.
AAAAGUCUCAUUCCAGUUGGUGCCUGCCUGGUGUCACAGAUCAGUGAGUCUGUGACUGGAGGCAUCUCACAUAUUUAUGGGAGACUAGA